This is a non-coding RNA of Glycine soja, 109 nucleotides long. NCBI's taxonomy places the organism in Eukaryota, Viridiplantae, Streptophyta, Magnoliopsida, Fabales, Fabaceae. The record is from Rfam.
CUUUUAUUGGACGUGAUCGUCACGUGUUGCGCUUUUAUUGGACGUUAAUUUCAUGCACUUAAUUAACAUCGGCCUCCAAUAAAAACACGACACAUGACAAUCAAUGUCC